This 2544-nucleotide long non-coding RNA is filed under the name Mytilus galloprovincialis (Mediterranean mussel). The record is from RNAcentral. Lineage: Eukaryota; Metazoa; Mollusca; Bivalvia; Mytilida; Mytilidae.
GGGGGAGGGGGUUAAAUGAUACCCCCCUCUUUUGUGGUAGUUAUCAUGAAAAAGUCUGCACAUAGCUAAUGGCAAGUAAGUUAAAAAAUAAUAAUAACUAAAAAUUUAAGAGCAAUUUAUUAACAAAUGUAUAACAAAACCUCCACAUUGUAAAAAAAAAAAGCCUUCAUGAUUUAAAUGUUUUUUGAAUUUUUCAUUUUACAUGAUUUUUAUAGCUACAUGAUAUAAUUGGUAUAAUUCUUCUCAUCACACAUAUAUAGUAAAGUUCUAUGAAAUAUUUACCAUAAAAAAUAAUAUGGAGGUAACCUCCUAUGAAGAUCUAACUAAUAAAAUAACAUGCUAAAAGUAGAGGCUCACCUGGCAUUUUGGCAUAAAAUUGAUGCAAAAGAUUAAGUAUAGUUUUGAUGGUCUCUGGCAAAAAGGCAAAAAAUGAUAAAAUUGUUUAUCAAGGGCAAUAACUCAUAUUGACUGACGAUUUCAGCCACGUUGACUUAUUUGACCUGAUUGAUGUUUUUUAUGUUAAUAGUUUUCUGCAAAUAACACAAAAAUGUUAUGUGUAAAAUUUGUAUUUUCAGAGCAAUUUAGCAAAAGUGUAGAUUUUGUCCAACUGACCAUUGUUGCCAUUUACAAUUCAUCUAGGGCAAUAACUCCCAUACAUAACUGACAAACAAUCUCAUCCAUAAUGGAUGAUGAUGGAAGUUUUUAACGAUCUAGAGUGGAUAUACAGACCUUGCACGGUCAGUCUCAUCCAGGAAAACUUAUUCAUAGAUCAAGUUUUUGAUGAUAAAUUUAUGCUACUAACAUUUUUUUCUAUCUACUAUUCUCUCCACAAAAGCACAAAAAUGGAUAACCAUCUUUCAGGGGCAAUAACUCCUAUAGGUCAAAUGAAAAUAUCAGCCAUGUUCACCUUUAUGUAGAUAUUGUAAUGAUAAUUGUAGUUGUUAGCAGUUUCCACUAAAAACACAAAUAUGGAUGAAAUUUAUCUUUCCAGGGCAGUAAUUCCUACAUGGAGUUAUUUCUACCAUGAUGAUAUACACAGAACUUGUAGAUUUCCUGUUCAAUGUAUCUAUUAUAGUUUCAAUGAUAAUAGCCAUAUUUGCAUUUAAAAGUUCUCAUUUAAGGGCAAUAUCUCCUAUCACAAGUGUCCUUGAAUGGAAAUGUUGAUUGGCAAGUGGAAUCAUCAAAUUCAUUUGUUAAACCAAAGAAUAAUUUGGGUCAAGUUUGGUUCCAAUAAGCACAUAGUUUCAAAGGAAAAGUUUUUUGGAAACGUCAACAAAAGACCAUGAACACCAAGUGAGCUAAAAAUAUACAUUUUUUAGAAUAGAUAUUUGGCUGAAAAAAACUAAGUUUAAUAUAAAUUCUCAUCUCAACAGUCUCUAAAGAAACUAUCUGUCAUUUUAAAUAUCAUUUAAAUAAAAUACAAGAAAAUAUUAUAAAAAAAACAUUUGCUUGAAUCCUUUGGUCAUACUUUUACAGUGUUCAGGAUAUUGAAAAAUACUUUAUGAAUAUAUAUUGUAACAAUUAUGAAGCACUGUCAUUUAAAAAAUAGAAAUCUUUGGUAUAUUUAUUACUGACAUUGUAAAAAAUGUGACUACAACAUCCUCCUUACUACCACCAAAUAUUCGUAGCAUUCCCAAAAUAUUGUUAUUACCAUUCUCUUGUACAAACAAACAUGCAUAGCAUUACCAAAUAUGGCUCUCUACCCUUUUGCUAUCAACUUCAUAUACAAUUCUAAAUAUAAAAUACUUAGUUCACUCCCUUUAUACAACUAACUACACAUUUAAAGCAUGAUUACUUAUAACUGAUUUAUUUAAGAUUCAUAACACUAUAUAUCAAACAAUAAUAUCACUGAGAUAGAACAAAGUUAUUCCUGUUAUCAAUAUUUAAAUAUUAAAAUAUGUAUAAAAUAUAUAAAGUUCACCAACACAUGUUAGAAUGAAUACUUGUAAUAACACAAUAGGUUGUGAUUAUUAUUUAACAAGGAUAUAUGACCAUACCCUGCUAAACACCCAUCCCCAACCACACAAUCAGGUUAAUCAGGUUUCAAAGUAACUUGGCACAUAAUUUUAAAUAAAGGCAACAUUAGUAUACCACUGUUUAAAAGCCAUAAAUCCAUUCAGAGAAAACAAAUCUGGAUAAUAAACUAAAACCGAGGAAACUCAACAACUAUAAGAGGAAAACAACAAAACAACAGAAACACUGAACUGUAAAAAAUAAUUUCUGAAUUAACAGUAUGACUUUCUUUACUACAUACAUUUUCAAGUACAGUAAUAGACAACACACAGAUUUGUGUUUCAGCCUAAAACAGGUAUUCAAAUAUAAAAUAUAGGAGAGCCUUGGUGUAGUGGUUAGUGCAUCAGACUACUAACAUAAAGGCUCUGGUUCGAUCCCUGCUCCAGGGAGAAAAUUUUAGGGACUGAAUUUUUGGCUCUCCCUUGACACCAUUUGCGAGUAUAGUUUUGAGAAACAAUGAUAGUCCGUCGGAAGGUGACGAUAAAUGGCUGACCCCUGAUAAAAGAGAGCCAUAUUUCUUGCAGGUUAAAC